Non-coding RNA from Canis lupus familiaris (dog), 1521 nucleotides. The record is from the annotation of a RefSeq genome assembly. NCBI's taxonomy places the organism in Eukaryota, Metazoa, Chordata, Mammalia, Carnivora, Canidae.
CACCUCCCACUCUCCAGCUUCUCUAGUACCUGCAGGUGCCUCAGGGAAGCUGAGGCUCAGAUCUAACCUGCCCUCUGCCAUCCACCGGAGUAGUCUCCCAGGUCCGCCUGGGCUUCUCUCCACCAGGCAGGAACCUGAACCAUGCUGAGUUCCCUUGCUGUCCUGUGUGUCCUCCUGUUUCCCGGUGGUGCAGCGGGGCUCAAGCUGGAGCAGACUCCUGUGGUCGUGGGGCGCUUGGGCACCUUGGCCACCCUGCCGUGCACAGUGGAUACCUCGGUGAGCUACAUCCACUGGUACUUCCACAAGGAGGAUACAGCCCCCAAGAGGCUCCUCUACCUAGACAUGUCCAGGUCGUAUGUGCAGAGGGAUAUAUUCGUGAAAGCAGACAAAGUCAACGCCAAGAAAGGCAGGAACAGUUACAGCUGUAACCUGUUGUUGCAGAAACUGGAGAAGAGUGAUGAGGGCGUGUACUACUGCGCUGCCUGGGAAGAUUGUUACUGGAAUAGUUGGAGCAACAAAGUGUUUGGUCCUGGCACAAUUCUCAGGGUUACAGAUAAAAGUCCUGAAGACAUUUCCCCCAAGCCCACAAUUUUUCUUCCUUCGAUUGCUGAAAUAAAAGCCCAUCAGGUUGGAACGUAUAUUUGUCUUCUUGAGGAUAUUAUUCCUGAUAUUUUUAAGAUAGAUUGGAAAGAAAAGAACAGCAAAACAAUUCUGCAAUCCCAGCAGGGAAACACCGUGAAGACUAAGGACACAUACAUGAAAUUCAGCUGGGUGACUGUGACUGAAAAAUCAAUGGAUAAAGAACACCAAUGCAUUGUCAAAGAUGAGAGGAAUAAAGAAAGGGUUAAUCAAGAGAUUGAUUUUCCUUCAAUAAACAAAGAAUUUGCUGCUAUUAACUCUACAGAAGCUUCCCUGCAUGAUGAAAAUGACCCCCUGCAGCUUCAACUCAUGAACACCUCUGCCUACUACACCUACCUCCUCCUCCUCCUGAAGAGCCUGAUGUACUCCAUCAUCACUGCCAUCUGUCUGCUUGGGAGAUCAGUGUUCGAUGGCAAUGGGAAGAGUUCUUAACAUGAUGCCUACAGGGUCCACUUAUUCCCAUUGGCUUUUGUCCCUAUAAAUGUCUGCUGAGGAUCUAGUGGGGUUUUGUUUCUAUGAUUGGGUUAUUUCCUUUCACAUGUAUCUUUCUCUGUAGGGUCACAAUGCAGAAUGGGUUUAUAAACUCCUGGGCAAACACAAACUUUCACUCUGCAGCAAGAACAAAUUCUGCUAUGACUCAGGGGUGGGGACAGGGGGCCAUCCCCAGGGGCUUCAUCACUUCUCUCUCUUAAUGCCCACCCACUCCCCAGCCACGCAGUACCCAUGCCUCUGUGUACAGUCUGCAUGCAGCUUCCAGCUGUGUCCUUGAACUCUUUUACCGUAUGAUUUCUUGGAAGCCCUUUAUUGUACAUACCUAGAAGAUCACCUCCUUACUGAUUUACCUUUGUACUGUUUUUCAUAAUAAAAAUUAUCAAAAAUCUA